Molecule: ribosomal RNA, 371 nt
Filed under: uncultured bacterium
Lineage: Bacteria
Description: bacterial SSU rRNA
Rfam family: Bacterial small subunit ribosomal RNA
Source: RNAcentral
GUAGGGGGCUAGCGUUGUCCGGAAUCAUUGGGCGUAAAGCGCGCGUAGGCGGCCAGAUAAGUCUGGUGUGAAAGUCAAAGGNUCNACCCUUUGAAUGCCGCUGGAAACUGUCUGGCUAGAGUCCGGGAGGGGCGAGUGGAAUUCCUGGUGUAGCGGUGAAAUGCGCAGAUAUCAGGAGGAACACCAAUGGCGAAGGCAGCUCGCUGGAACGGUACUGACGCUGAGGCGCGAAAGCGUGGGGAGCAAACAGGAUUAGAUACCCUGGUAGUCCACGCUGUAAACGAUGGGCACUAGUGUGGGGGGUGUCGACUCCCUCCGUGCCGCAGCUAACGCAUUAAGUGCCCCGCCUGGGGAGUACGGCCGCAAGGCUA